GGGAGUUUGAGGUUCAGAUUACUUAGGGUGCUUUUCUACUGUCCUGGUGAAAUGGACUUUGUAUUCCUGAGUAGGCUGUUUUUCUUCAUGUUUUCUACCAUUUCUGUGAAAUAGUUUUGGAGACUCUAUGAGCUAGUUACAUUGGCGAUGACUUCUCAGAACAGGAAAAUCCUGGUGGUGCUACUUCCCUGUGAAGUAGUUUGGCAGUUCAGAAGCUGGCAGGCAAGUCUCUGAUACCUGGCCAAGAUGGACAAAGGAGAAGGACAAGGACAAAGCCUGGGAGGAAGACUUUGAGCCUUCAGCACAAGAGACCCCCAGAAGGACCACCGGGGACUGAUAUGCACGUGCCAGUGGGAGGGUUCGGAAUCCGGGAACUAAUUAUAAUAACCCUGCCUUUUCUAGAAGUAGUAAUGAAUAUGUAUUAGCCUAGGAGCAGAAAAAGCAGCUGCCUGGUGUAAUGUCUGUGCAUGUUGGAGGAGCCCAGACUCCUUGCGCAUGCAGCGCUGUUUACCUGCCUUUUAUUGAACCUAUAAAUAAAUCUUAAAGCUAAAUUGACUUGGAA
Molecule: non-coding RNA, 562 nt
Organism: Anas platyrhynchos (mallard)
Lineage: Eukaryota; Metazoa; Chordata; Aves; Anseriformes; Anatidae
Source: RefSeq, a predicted model, not a curated record